Molecule: small nuclear RNA, 107 nt
Organism: Meriones unguiculatus (Mongolian gerbil)
Lineage: Eukaryota; Metazoa; Chordata; Mammalia; Rodentia; Muridae
Source: Ensembl
AUGGUCACAUUGGCAACUUAUAUACCAAAAUUGGAAAAAUACAGAGAAGAGUAGCAUGGCCCCUCUGCAAGGAUGACACCCAAACUUAGGAAGCGUUCCGUAUUUUU